GGAGGCAUAGCUCAGCUGGUCAGAGCGCACGGUUCACAUCCGUGAGGUCGGGGGUUCGAUCCCCUCUGUCUCCACCA
Molecule: transfer RNA, 77 nt
Filed under: Ruminococcus sp.
Lineage: Bacteria; Bacillati; Bacillota; Clostridia; Eubacteriales; Oscillospiraceae
Also listed under: 4 other names
Description: tRNA-Val
Rfam family: tRNA
About the family: Transfer RNA (tRNA) molecules are approximately 80 nucleotides in length.
Source: RNAcentral